GAGUUUGAUUCUGGCUCAGGACGAACGCUGGCGGCGUGCCUAAUACAUGCAAGUCGAACGAACGGAGAAAGAAGCUUGCUUUUUUCAAAGUUAGUGGCGAACGGGUGAGUAACACGUGGGUAACCUGCCCAUCAGAGGGGGAUAACAUUCGGAAACGGAUGCUAAAACCGCAUAGGUUCCUUAGUUGCAUGACUGAGGAAGGAAAAGAGGCGUAAGCUUCUGCUGGUGGAUGGACCCGCGGUGCAUUAGCUAGUUGGUGAGGUAACGGCUCACCAAGGCGAUGAUGCAUAGCCGACCUGAGAGGGUGAUCGGCCACAUUGGGACUGAGACACGGCCCAAACUCCUACGGGAGGCAGCAGUAGGGAAUCUUCCGCAAUGGACGCAAGUCUGACGGAGCAACGCCGCGUGAGUGAAGAAGGUUUUCGGAUCGUAAAACUCUGUUGUUAGAGAAGAAUAAGCAUAAUAGUAAUCUGAUUAUGCCGUGACGUUCNACCGAG
This 497-nucleotide ribosomal RNA is filed under the name Granulicatella sp. canine oral taxon 095. RNAcentral describes it as "bacterial SSU rRNA". It matches the Rfam family "Bacterial small subunit ribosomal RNA", at positions 9 to 486 of the family's 1533-position model. Lineage: Bacteria; Bacillati; Bacillota; Bacilli; Lactobacillales; Carnobacteriaceae. The record is from RNAcentral.